UUAUGUAUAUGAAUUGCACUUACUGUAUUUUCCUCCAAGGCUUUGAACAGCUUCAACAAAGAGUUCAUGCAGUUGAGAUGUCCACCGCAAGCGUGGAAGCUCAGAUUUGUGGUAUUUCCUCACUCCAAUUCUAUGAGAACUACCUUUCAUAAUUUCUUUCUUCGACAUCGUAAUCGAAUUCGUAUGCAUAUAUUCAGAAUAAUGCUUGAGGAUCCUCCUCGGAGCUCUAGAGAUCUCUUCACAUGUAGUACAAGCUUUGUGAUGAAUGAGUUAAUAUGCGAAUGGGGUAGUAGUAUGGCAAGCUACCUAGAAUUAAUAUGAACG
RNAcentral lists this long non-coding RNA (324 nucleotides) under Malus domestica (apple). Its description in RNAcentral is "long non-coding RNA (MDOM_LNC008050)". Lineage: Eukaryota; Viridiplantae; Streptophyta; Magnoliopsida; Rosales; Rosaceae. The record is from RNAcentral.